CCGACCUUAGCUCAGUUGGUAGUGCAGAGGACUGUAGUUUGAUUAAUCUAAAUUGGAAAUCCUUAGGUCGCUGGUACAAAUCCGGCAGGUCGGA
Molecule: transfer RNA, 94 nt
Filed under: Ipomoea nil (Japanese morning glory)
Lineage: Eukaryota; Viridiplantae; Streptophyta; Magnoliopsida; Solanales; Convolvulaceae
Rfam family: tRNA
About the family: Transfer RNA (tRNA) molecules are approximately 80 nucleotides in length. Their secondary structure includes four short double-helical elements and three loops (D, anti-codon, and T loops).
Source: Rfam by way of RNAcentral